Molecule: ribosomal RNA, 253 nt
Filed under: uncultured bacterium
Lineage: Bacteria
Description: partial 16S ribosomal RNA
Rfam family: Bacterial small subunit ribosomal RNA
Source: RNAcentral
UACAGAGGUCUCAAGCGUUGUUCGGAUUCAUUGGGCGUAAAGGGUGCGUAGGCGGCGCGGUAAGUCGGGUGUGAAAUCUCGGAGCUUAACUCCGAAACUGCAUUCGAUACUGCCGUGCUUGAGGACUGGAGAGGAGACUGGAAUUUACGGUGUAGCGGUGAAAUGCGUGGAUAUCGAGAAGAACACGUAGGGCGAAAGCAAGACUCUGGACAAGUGUUGACGCUCAUGCACGAAGGCUAGGGUAGCGAACGGG